CAGCAGCCACGGGAACACGGAGGGUGCAAGCGUUAAUCGGAAUUACUGGCGUAAAGCGCACGCAGGCGGUUUGUUAAGUCAGAUGUGAAAUCCCCGAGCUUAACUUGGGAACUGCAUUUGAAACUGGCAAGCUAGAGUCUUGUAGAGGGGGGUAGAGUUCCAGGUGUAGCGGUGAAAUGCGUAGAGAUCUGGAGGAAUACCGGUGGCGAAGGCGGCCCCCUGAACAAAGACUGACGCUCAGGUGCGAAAGCGUGGGGAGCAAACAGGAUUAGAUACCCGCGUAGUCCCUGUCUCUUAUACC
This 301-nucleotide ribosomal RNA is filed under the name uncultured bacterium. RNAcentral's name for it is "partial 16S ribosomal RNA". It matches the Rfam family "Bacterial small subunit ribosomal RNA", at positions 509 to 808 of the family's 1533-position model. The record is from RNAcentral.